Loxodonta africana (African savanna elephant) is the source of this 1999-nucleotide RNA transcript. RefSeq lists it as uncharacterized. The transcript has 3 exons. The record is from RefSeq and is a predicted model, not a curated record. NCBI's taxonomy places the organism in Eukaryota, Metazoa, Chordata, Mammalia, Proboscidea, Elephantidae.
CAGGAGGGCUGCUUUACCUCCUGAUUCAGUUGAAAGCCUGUGGAUGUGGAACCAGGAAUUCGUUAAGUUUGUUAUGGAAAGUAGGAAGUGGUCGGGGAAGGGGGAAGCAGAGGAAUGGGAGUCAACUAGGCAAAAGAAUAAUGUUCUCUGGCUUCUGGGAACUUUCAAAGGAUCUGAGUUGCUGAAGGCAUGCAGUAUUCUAAUAUGAUCUGCCCCCUCUUGGGGUGGAGCGUCUAGAGGUGGCAGGGAGCAGUAUUGGAGUCACUAAUUCUUGGCUCCAGAGAUUUAGGAUGGCCUUUUCUUGGGAGACCCUGGGAUGCUGGGAAAGAGCAAGGCCUGGGUAGCUUAGUGACUCAGAUACCUUAGAGUGGCCCCUUACGUCACCUAGUCCUAAUACAUCCUUCAACAAACCAAAUCCUUGGAAGCAGACGUGAGUUGCCAGUUAAAGUAUACUUUUCAGAAGGUAAAAUCAUGUCUCUCACACAGACAUUAAAUGAACAUGUUUCAAACAUUUUAUUGAACUCACUCAUUAAUGAGGAAACCAGUAAGAUUUAAAACUGGUCCAAAAGGGAUUUGAAAAGCUAGCUAUAUGUAGGCAGUUUAUUAAUAGAUGGCUGGGCUAGACACGAAAACUGGUUUAUGUUCAACAGAAUCGUAAGUUGUAAACUUUAGGGCUAUUAAUUCUACUGGGUAGAAAUUAUUUGCAUCUCUCUUGGUCAAAACUUUGCAAGUUUGCUUUGCCUUACAGUGAGGAAAAAUAGUCCAGUAAAUAGAAAGUCAAAUUCAAUACAGCAUCAAAAGGACAUCCAAUAAUUUUUUCAUGUAUUUCCAAGUUUUGAAUAAUUUUUCUUAAAUGUCCAGGGUCACACAGGUAAUUCUAGCAGAUGUGGGGUGAUAGUCGAAAUCUCAUUAUGUUCGACCCAAUACUUUCGUCCUUGCAACACAAUCCAGAACGACAAAGAUGUCCAAGAGCUAAAUUUCCAAUCAUAGAAUGGGAAGUGGUAUAUUUCCUUCUCCUUACCUGCCCAGCCUACACAUUCCACUCAUGCAAACACUAACCUGUGAGGGAUUCCAAACUGGGUCCUUGAUACCGCAUUCCCCUAGCCCAAGGCAUUGUCUCGACACCCAUUUUCUUCCUGUUAGUGUUCCUAGCAUCCUGCAGAAUUCCUUAGCCACCUCACCCCACCUUCACACACUCGGUCCUCAUACUUACCAUCUCUGAUUUCUGUGUUGGACUCGGCACCCCUCUUUCUUCAUCUCUGAGAUCUUAUCACAUUCUCAGUUGGAACUCUCAUUGGAUAUGUUCAAAUGAGGCUAGAUGACACCUUGGCUGACAUGUUGACUAGAGGGAUUUAAGUACUCAAUGUGUGUGUUCAGCAUAGGCGUCCCUCAAGAUCCUCCCAGCUCUCAAAUAUAAGGCUUCUGUAAUAGUUUAUUCCCCCAAAUGGGAGCAAAACUUGCACAUAGAACCUAGAAAGCCUCAGGUGGGUUUGGAAAGCUGGCAUUGAUUUUUUGGCUUUAGGAAAACUCUAAUCUCCUGGCUUCCCAUCAGAGUGAACACUAAUAUCUUCCUUUUUGGGAGAGCUCUGUGGAUGAGUGAGUUACUAUUUGCUGAGAGAUUUGGGAGCCUGAGGCAAAUGACAUUGAGCUGCUCACCAGCUAUGACAAGGCCUCUGCACAAACACCCAUCCUUUUAUUCCUGCCAGGUCUUUGUGGGCGGCAGAGGUUGGAAUAAUUUCAUUACAAGAGUCCAUCAGCCUUGACGGUGUCUCUCGAAGAUUGCCUUUUUCAUAAUCAUUUUGUUUGUUUGUCUGAAAUGGAAAUCAGGGGUCCACCUCUCCCAUGUGCAGCUCGUAUGUCUCACCCACCCCCAGCUGGUUUGAAGCCUGGGUUGUCUAGAACUGUGCCACUAGCAGGCUGAAGACGAAACCUCAGAGGAGGGCAGAGCCAAAGCCACUGGUCUAUGUGAACUCCAAGGUUUGCCCCACCUCUAGACUGG